UACAGAGACCUCAAGCGUUAUCCGGAAUCAUUGGGCGUAAAGCGUGCCGAUAGGUGGUUUUAUUAGUCUUAGGUAAACGCCAGAAGCUCAACUUCUGAGUUUGCUUAAGAUACUGUAAGACUAGAGGGGCAAAGAGGUGCUUGGAACGAAUGGUGUAGUAGUGAAAUGCGUUGAUAUCAUUCGGAACACCGAAAGCGAAGGCAGAGCACUGGGUGCCACCUGACACUGCUAGGACGAAAGCGUGGGUAGCGAAUGGG
Molecule: ribosomal RNA, 257 nt
Filed under: uncultured bacterium
Lineage: Bacteria
Description: partial 16S ribosomal RNA
Rfam family: Bacterial small subunit ribosomal RNA
Source: RNAcentral